This 200-nucleotide ribosomal RNA is filed under the name uncultured Glomus. Its description in RNAcentral is "partial small subunit ribosomal RNA". It matches the Rfam family "Eukaryotic small subunit ribosomal RNA", at positions 591 to 797 of the family's 1831-position model. Lineage: Eukaryota; Fungi; Glomeromycota; Glomeromycetes; Glomerales; Glomeraceae. The record is from RNAcentral.
CCAAUAGCGUAUAUUAAAGUUGCUGCAGUUAAAAAGCUCGUAGUUGAAUUUCGGGACCAAUAUGUCGGUCGUGCCUCGGUACGUACUGGCAUCGUUGGUUUCUCCCUUCUGAAGAACCAUGAUGUCAUUUAUUUGGUGUCGUGGGGAAUCAGGACUGUUACUUUGAAAAAAUUAGAGUGUUUAAAGCAGGCUCACGCUUG